CCUACGGGAGACAGCAGUGGGGAAUAUUGCACAAUGGGCAAAAGCCUGAUGCAGCAACGCCGCGUGAAGGAAGAAGGGUUUCGGCUCGUAAACUUCUAUUCACAGGGAAGAAAGAAAUGACGGUACCUGAAUAAGAAGCACAGGCGAAUUACGUGCAAGCAGCAGCGGCAAUACGUCGGGGGCAAGAGUUAUCCGGAUUUACUGGGUGUAAAGGGAGCGUAGACGGCAGCGCAAGUAUGGAGUGAAAUCCCAUGGCUUAACAAUGGAACUGCAUUGGAAACUGUGCAGAUAGAGUGCAGGAGAGGUAAGCGGAAUUCCGAGUGUAGCGGUGAAAUGCGUAGAUAUUAGGAGGAACACCAGUGGCGAAGGCGGGUUACUGGACUUUAACUGACGCUGAGGCACGAAGGCGUGGGGAGCAAACGGGAUUAGAUACCCUGGUAGUC
Molecule: ribosomal RNA, 443 nt
Filed under: uncultured bacterium
Lineage: Bacteria
Description: partial 16S ribosomal RNA
Rfam family: Bacterial small subunit ribosomal RNA
Source: RNAcentral